RNAcentral lists this ribosomal RNA (302 nucleotides) under uncultured bacterium. RNAcentral's name for it is "partial 16S ribosomal RNA". It matches the Rfam family "Bacterial small subunit ribosomal RNA", at positions 508 to 807 of the family's 1533-position model. The record is from RNAcentral.
GCAGCCGCCGCGGGAAUACGUAGGUGGCAAGCGUUGUCCGGAAUUAUUGGGCGUAAAGGGCUCGCAGGCGGUUUCUUAAGUCUGAUGCGAAAGCCCCCGGCUCAACCGGGGAGGGUCAUUGGAAACUGGGAAACUUGAGUGCAGAAGAGGAGAGUGGAAUUCCACGUGUAGCGGUGAAAUGCGUAGUGAUGUGGAGGAACACCAGUGGCGAAGGCGACUCUCUGGUCUGUAACUGACGCUGAGGAGCGAAAGCGUGGGGAGCGAACAGGAUUAGAUACCCCCGUAGUCCCUGUCUCUUAUAC